GAUGAACGCUGGCGGCGUGCCUAAUACAUGCAAGUCGAGCGAACAGACGAGGAGCUUGCUCCUCUGACGUUAGCGGCGGACGGGUGAGUAACACGUGGAUAACCUACCUAUAAGACUGGGAUAACUUCGGGAAACCGGAGCUAAUACCGGAUAAUAUAUUGAACCGCAUGGUUCAAUAGCGAAAGACGGUUUUGCUGUCACUUAUAGAUGGAUCCGCGCCGCAUUAGCUAGUUGGUAAGGUAACGGCUUACCAAGGCAACGAUGCGUAGCCGACCUGAGAGGGUGAUCGGCCACACUGGAACUGAGACACGGUCCAGACUCCUACGGGAGGCAGCAGUAGGGAAUCUUCCGCAAUGGGCGAAAGCCUGACGGAGCAACGCCGCGUGAGUGAUGAAGGUCUUCGGAUCGUAAAACUCUGUUAUUAGGGAAGAACAAAUGUGUAAGUAACUAUGCACGUCUUGACGGUACCUAAUCAGAAAGCCACGGCUAACUGCGUG
Molecule: ribosomal RNA, 497 nt
Filed under: uncultured bacterium
Lineage: Bacteria
Description: partial 16S ribosomal RNA
Rfam family: Bacterial small subunit ribosomal RNA
Source: RNAcentral